RNAcentral lists this ribosomal RNA (486 nucleotides) under uncultured bacterium. RNAcentral's name for it is "bacterial SSU rRNA". It matches the Rfam family "Bacterial small subunit ribosomal RNA", at positions 43 to 524 of the family's 1533-position model. The record is from RNAcentral.
CAGGCCUAACACAUGCAAGUCGAACGGCAGCACGGGGGCAACCCUGGUGGCGAGUGGCGAACGGGUGAGUAAUAUAUCGGAACGUACCUAGUAGUGGGGGGUAGCUCGGCGAAAGCCGGAUUAAUACCGCAUACGACCUACGGGUGAAAGCGGGGGAUCGAAAGACCUCGUGCUAUUAGAAUGGCCGAUAUCUGAUUAGCUAGUUGGUAGGGUAAAAGCCUACCAAGGCAACGAUCAGUAGCUGGUCUGAGAGGACGACCAGCCACACUGGGACUGAGACACGGCCCAGACUCCUACGGGAGGCAGCAGUGGGGAAUUUUGGACAAUGGGGGAAACCCUGAUCCAGCCAUGCCGCGUGUGUGAAGAAGGCCUUCGGGUUGUAAAGCACUUUUGUUCGGAGCGAAACGGUAGCGACUAAUAUUUGCUACUAAUGACGGUACCGAAAGAAUAAGCACCGGCUAACUACGUGCCAGCAGCCGCGGUAAU